AGUUUUAUGAAUCCAUAUAAAAUUUUUUCUGCCCAAUGUAUUUUAUAUAAAUGGCCGCAGUACCUUGACUGUGCUAAGGUAGCAUAAUCAAUUGGCUUUUAAUUAAAGUCUAGAAUGAACGGGAUCAUGGGAUUUUUCUGUCUUAAAAAAUUUAAUUAUAAUUUAUUUAUAAGGUGAAAAUACCUUUAUUUAAAAUAAAGACGAGAAGACCCUAUGAAUUUUUAUCUUUUUUUGUUGGGGCGACAAUUUAACAUUUGAUCUUAAAUUAACGUAUUUAACGAUUUUUUUAAUUAAAAUUAAAUUACCUUAGGGAUAACAGCAUUAUUGUAUAAACAGUUUGUGACCUCGAUGUUGGACUAGGAACUAUAAGGCUAACAGUCUAAAUAGAUUUGUUCUGUUCGAACAAUUAUAUCCU
Molecule: ribosomal RNA, 415 nt
Filed under: Armiger crista
Lineage: Eukaryota; Metazoa; Mollusca; Gastropoda; Planorbidae
Description: partial large subunit ribosomal RNA
Source: RNAcentral